AGAGUUUGAUCCUGGCUCAGGGUGAACGCUAGCGGCGGGCCUAACACAUGCAAGUCGUGCGGAGGGGGCAACCCCUCAGCGGCGGACGGGUGAGUAACACGUAGGUAACCUGCCCUCAGGAGGGGGAUAACUCUGGGAAACCAGGGCUAAUACCCCAUAAAGCAAGGGCACCGCAUGGUGGGCUUGCUAAAGCCGAAAGGCGCCUGAGGAGGGGCCUGCGGCCGAUUAGCUAGUUGGUAGGGUAACGGCCUACCAAGGCGAUGAUCGGUAGCUGGUCUGAGAGGACGGCCAGCCACAGGGACACUGAGACACGGGUCCCACUCCUACGGGAGGCAGCAGUGGGGAAUAUUGGGCAAUGGGCGAAAGCCUGACCCAGCCACGCCGCGUGCCGGAUGAAGGUCCGAUGGAUUGUAAACGGCUUUUCCCAGGGAGAAAAGGGGAGGUCACCUCCCUCUGAUCGUACCUGGGGAAUAAGCGCCGGCUAACUACGUGCCAGCAGCCGCGGUAAGACGUAGGGCGCAAGCGUUACCCGGAGUUACUGGGCUUAAAGGGUCCGUAGGCGGCUCUGCACGUCCCGGGUCAAAGCCCUCCGCUCAACGGAGGAAAGGCUCGG
Molecule: ribosomal RNA, 613 nt
Filed under: uncultured Bacteroidota bacterium
Lineage: Bacteria; Pseudomonadati; Bacteroidota
Description: bacterial SSU rRNA
Rfam family: Bacterial small subunit ribosomal RNA
Source: RNAcentral